RNAcentral lists this ribosomal RNA (500 nucleotides) under uncultured bacterium. RNAcentral describes it as "partial 16S ribosomal RNA". It matches the Rfam family "Bacterial small subunit ribosomal RNA", at positions 30 to 523 of the family's 1533-position model. The record is from RNAcentral.
AUUGAACGCUGGCGGAAUGCUUUACACAUGCGAGUCGAACGGCAGCACGGACUUCGGUCUGGUGGCGAGUGGCGAACGGGUGAGUAAUGUAUCGGAACGCGCCCAGUCGUGGGGGAUAACGUAGUGAAAAUUACGCUAAUACCGCAUACGAUCUAUGGAUGAAAGCGGGGGAUCGCAAGACCUCGCGCGAUUGGAGCGGCCGAUAUCAGAUUAGGUAGUUGGUGGGGUAAAGGCCCACCAAGCCAACGAUCUGUAGCUGGUCUGAGAGGACGACCAGCCAAACUGGAACUGAGACACGGUCCAGACUCCUACGGGAGGCAGCAGUGGGGAAUUUUGGACAAUGGGCGAAAGCCUGAUCCAGCCAUUCCGCGUGCAGGAUGAAGGCCCUCGGGUUGUAAACUGCUUUUGUACAGAACGAAAAGGUUUCUACUAAUACUAGGAGCUCAUGACGGUACUGUAAGAAUAAGCACCGGCUAACUACGUGCCAGCAGCCGCAGUAA